RNAcentral lists this transfer RNA (76 nucleotides) under Candidatus Margulisiibacteriota bacterium. Its description in RNAcentral is "tRNA-Gly". It matches the Rfam family "tRNA". Rfam says of the family: Transfer RNA (tRNA) molecules are approximately 80 nucleotides in length. Their secondary structure includes four short double-helical elements and three loops (D, anti-codon, and T loops). Further hydrogen bonds mediate the characteristic L-shaped molecular structure. tRNAs have two regions of fundamental functional importance: the anti-codon, which is responsible for specific mRNA codon recognition, and the 3' end, to which the tRNAs corresponding amino acid is attached (by aminoacyl-tRNA synthetases). tRNAs cope with the degeneracy of the genetic code in two manners: having more than one tRNA (with a specific anti-codon) for a particular amino acid; and 'wobble' base-pairing, i.e. permitting non-standard base-pairing at the 3rd anti-codon position. Lineage: Bacteria; Bacillati; Candidatus Margulisiibacteriota. The record is from RNAcentral.
GCGGACGUAACUCAGUUGGUAGAGUGUCAGCCUUCCAAGCUGAAUGUCGAGGGUUCGAACCCCUUCGUCCGCUCCA